CUAAACCCAUGCCAUCCUUUGACUUUUCUCUAACAUUUGCCAAAAAACUCGAACCUUCAAAUUGUUUGGAAAUAUCAUUAUAAAUGGCUUUCCCUAAAGUUGUCUUUCCUAUGCCUCCUUGCCCCCAUAAUCCCACCAUGAGAACAUCAUCUAUAGACUCGAGGUUCAACAUCGAUUUCAGUUUA
This is a long non-coding RNA of Rhodamnia argentea, 185 nucleotides long. RefSeq lists it as uncharacterized. The transcript has 3 exons. NCBI's taxonomy places the organism in Eukaryota, Viridiplantae, Streptophyta, Magnoliopsida, Myrtales, Myrtaceae. The record is from RefSeq and is a predicted model, not a curated record.